GAAAUGCGAAAAGUAGUGUGACAUGCAAACGCCUGUGAAACAUUGAAUCUUUGAACGCACAUUGCGCUCAGCGGUGCGAGCCGCGGAGCAUGUCUGUCUGAGGGUGGCAACGAACAUGCAGCGGAGCUGUGAUGUGGCGCGACCGUGCGUGAUGUGGUGCAACCGUGCUGAAUGGUGCACCACGCUCUGCUGGCGCACUAAAAUAAAAGCCUUGCGUAGAGGUGCAGCAAAAUGAUACUCUCAUUCCAGUACACCAAUACCAGCAUAUCAUCAUCCACACCGCCUCAGAUCAGACAAGACCACCCGCCGAACUUAA
Molecule: unclassified non-coding RNA, 316 nt
Filed under: uncultured fungus
Lineage: Eukaryota; Fungi
Description: sequence contains ITS1
Rfam family: 5.8S ribosomal RNA (bases 1-107)
Source: RNAcentral